RNAcentral lists this ribosomal RNA (755 nucleotides) under uncultured organism. RNAcentral describes it as "bacterial SSU rRNA". It matches the Rfam family "Bacterial small subunit ribosomal RNA", at positions 93 to 863 of the family's 1533-position model. The record is from RNAcentral.
CAGUGGCGAAAGGGUGAGUAACGCGUGAGUAACCUACCUUUAAGUUGGAAAUAGCUCCGAGAAAUCGGAAUUAAUGUCGAAUGUGAACAGUUUUUCGCAUGGAAUUCUGUUUAAAGAUUUUUCGCUUAUUGAGGGGCUCGCGUCCCAUUAGCUAGUUGGUAAGGUAACGGCUUACCAAGGCCAAGAUGGGUAGCUGGUCUGAGAGGAUGAUCAGCCACACUGGGACUGAGACACUGCCCAGACUCCUACGGGAGGCUGCAGUCGAGAAUCUUCCGCAAUGCGCGAAAGCGUGACGGAGCGAUGCCGCGUGCAGGAUGAAGGCCCUUGGGUUGUAAACUGCUGUCACUCGGGACGAAGAUCUGACGGUACCGAGAGGGGAAGCCACGGCUAACUACGUGCCAGCAGCCGCGGUAAUACGUAGGUGGCGAGCGUUGUUCGGAUUUAUUGGGCGUAAAGGGUCCGCAGGGGGUUUAUUAAGUCUGAUGUGAAAUCCCACGGCUCAACCGUGGAACUGCAUUGGAAACUGAUAGACUAGAGUAUCGCAGAGGAAAGCGGAAUUCCUGGUGUAGCGGUGGAAUGCGUAGAUCUCAGGAAGAACAUCGAGAGCGAAGGCAGCUUUCUAGGCGAUUACUGACCCUCAGGGACGAAAGCGUGGGUAGCGAACAGGAUUAGAUAUCCUGGUAGUCCACGCCGUANACGCUGUGAACUUGAUGUGGGAGGAUUUAGACCCUUCUGUGUCGGAGCUAACGCGAUAA